This 73-nucleotide transfer RNA is filed under the name Asterina phylactica. RNAcentral's name for it is "tRNA-Leu". It matches the Rfam family "tRNA". From Rfam's summary of the family: Transfer RNA (tRNA) molecules are approximately 80 nucleotides in length. Their secondary structure includes four short double-helical elements and three loops (D, anti-codon, and T loops). The record is from RNAcentral. Lineage: Eukaryota; Metazoa; Echinodermata; Asteroidea; Valvatida; Asterinidae.
GCUGGGGUAGCAAAGCGGUUACUGCGGCAGAUUUAGGAUCUGUUAUUAAAGGUUUCGAAUCCUUUCCUUAGUU